RNAcentral lists this ribosomal RNA (787 nucleotides) under uncultured bacterium. RNAcentral's name for it is "bacterial SSU rRNA". It matches the Rfam family "Bacterial small subunit ribosomal RNA", at positions 8 to 796 of the family's 1533-position model. The record is from RNAcentral.
AGAGUUUGAUCCUGGCUCAGGACGAACGCUGGCGGCGUGCUUAACACAUGCAAGUCGAACGGAAAGGCCCUUUCGGGGGUACUCGAGUGGCGAACGGGUGAGUAACACGUGGGUGAUCUGCCCUGCACUUCGGGAUAAACUUGGGAAACUGGGUCUAAUACCGGAUAGGACCAUGCCAUGCAUGUGGUGUGGUGGAAAGCUUUUGCGGUGUGGGAUGGGCCCGCGGCCUAUCAGCUUGUUGGUGGGGUGAUGGCCUACCAAGGCGACGACGGGUAGCCGGCCUGAGAGGGUGUCCGGCCACACUGGGACUGAGAUACGGCCCAGACUCCUACGGGAGGCAGCAGUGGGGAAUAUUGCACAAUGGGCGCAAGCCUGAUGCAGCGACGCCGCGUGGGGGAUGACGGCCUUCGGGUUGUAAACCUCUUUCACCAUCGGCGAAGCCCAUGAUUUUUGUUGUGGGUGACGGUAGGUGGAGAAGAAGCACCGGCCAACUACGUGCCAGCAGCCGCGGUAAUACGUAGGGUGCGAGCGUUGUCCGGAAUUACUGGGCGUAAAGAGCUCGUAGGUGGUUUGUCGCGUUGUCCGUGAAAUUCCCUGGCUUAACUGGGGGCGUGCGGGCGAUACGGGCAGACUGGAGUACUGCAGGGGAGACUGGAAUUCCUGGUGUAGCGGUGGAAUGCGCAGAUAUCAGGAGGAACACCGGUGGCGAAGGCGGGUCUCUGGGCAGUAACUGACGCUGAGGAGCGAAAGCGUGGGGAGCGAACAGGAUUAGAUACCCUGGUAGUCC